AUUGAACGCUGGCGGAAUGCUUUACACAUGCAAGUCGAACGGUAGAGGGGGCAACCCCUCGAGAGUGGCGAACGGGUGAGUAAUAUAUCGGAACGUGCCCAGUCGUGGGGGAUAACGUAGCGAAAGUUACGCUAAUACCGCAUACGAUCUAAGGAUGAAAGCGGGGGAUCGCAAGACAUCGCGCGAUUGGAGCGGCCGAUAUCAGAUUAGGUAGUUGGUGGGGUAAAGGCUCACCAAGCCAACGAUCUGUAGCUGGUCUGAGAGGACGACCAGCCACACUGGAACUGAGACACGGUCCAGACUCCUACGGGAGGCAGCAGUGGGGAAUUUUGGACAACGGACGCAAGUCUGAUCCAGCCAUUCCGCGUGCAGGAUGGAGGCCCUCGGGUUGUAAACUGCUUUUGUACGGAACGAAAAGGUCUCUCUUAAUACGGGGGACUCAUGACGGUACCGUAAGAAUAAGCACCGGCUAACUACGUGCCAGCCGCCGCGGUAA
This 496-nucleotide ribosomal RNA is filed under the name uncultured bacterium. RNAcentral describes it as "partial 16S ribosomal RNA". It matches the Rfam family "Bacterial small subunit ribosomal RNA", at positions 30 to 523 of the family's 1533-position model. The record is from RNAcentral.